GAUGAACGCUAGCUACAGGCUUAACACAUGCAAGUCGAGGGGCAGCAUGGUCGAAGCUUGCUUCGACUGAUGGCGACCGGCGCACGGGUGCGUAACGCGUAUCGAACCUGCCCUAUACACGGGGAUAGCCUUGCGAAAGUAAGAUUAAUACCCGAUGCCAAGUUGAGAUCGCAUGAUUUUGAUUUGAAAGAAAUUCGGUAUAGGAUGGCGAUGCGUCUGAUUAGGUAGAUGGCGGGGUAACGGCCCACCAUGCCGACGAUCAGUAGGGGUUCUGAGAGGAAGGUCCCCCACAUUGGAACUGAGACACGGUCCAAACUCCUACGGGAGGCAGCAGUGAGGAAUAUUGGUCAAUGGUCGCGAGACUGAACCAGCCAAGUAGCGUGCAGGACGACGGCCCUCUGGGUUGUAAACUGCUUUUAGUGGGAAUAAAGGCGGUACGUGUACCGCGUAUUGUAUGUACCAUCAGAAAAAGGCCGGCUAAAUUCCGUGCCAG
RNAcentral lists this ribosomal RNA (493 nucleotides) under uncultured bacterium. RNAcentral's name for it is "bacterial SSU rRNA". It matches the Rfam family "Bacterial small subunit ribosomal RNA", at positions 28 to 511 of the family's 1533-position model. The record is from RNAcentral.